UCAAGCUGGAAAGAGCGCAAGGGGAAUGCCUUGGCAUCAGGAGCCGAAGAAGGACGUGACAAGCUGCGAAAAGCCUCGGGGAGGAGCAAAUAUCCAUUGAUCCGGGGAUAUCCGAAUGGGGCAACCCGGCUGGACAAUAUCCAGUCAUCCUGCGUUGAACAAAAUAGGCGUAGGAAGGGAACCGCCUGAACUGAAACAUCUAAGUAGGGCGAGGAAGAGACAUCAACCGAGAUUCCGCAAGUAGUGGCGAGCGAACGCGGAAGAGGCCAAACCGAGGGAUUUAUUCCUCGGGGUUGCGGACAGUCAUUUAGCGGAAGUUAUCUAGGAGAAGGGUCUGGGAAGGCCCGCCAUAGAGGGUGAGAGCCCCGUAUCCGAAAGAGAAGGCCGUGCGACUGAAUCCAGAGUACCGCGGGACACGUGAAACCCCGUGGGAAACAGGGGGGACCACCCUCCAAGCCUAAAUACUACCUGAUGACCGAUAGAGGAGCAGUACCGUGAGGGAAAGGUGAAAAGGACCCCGGGAGGGGAGUGAAAGAGAACCUGAAACCUUGUGCUUACAAGCUGUCAAAGCACGUUAACGUGUGAUGGCGUACUUUUUGUAGAACGGUCCGGCGAGUUAUAGUAACGAGCGAGCUUAAGGCAUUCAGUGCCGGAGGCGAAGCGAGAGCGAGUCUGAAUAGGGCGUAAAGUUCGUUGCCAUAGACCCGAAACCGGGUGACCUACCCAUGAGCAGGUUGAAGUGGGGGUGAAACCCCAUGGAGGACCGAACCGACCCCCGUUGCAAUGGUGGCGGAUGACUUGUGGGUAGCGGUGAAAUUCCAAUCGAACUCGGAGAUAGCUGGUUCUCCCCGAAAUAGCUUUAGGGCUAGCGUUAUGUUAGAUUACCGGAGGUAAAGCACUGAAUGGUAGCGGGGCCGAUAAGGUUACCAACGCCUAUCAAACUAAGAAUGCCGGCUAAUUGAUGCAUAGCAGUCAGACAGUGUGAGAUAAGUUUCAUUGUCAAAAGGGAAACAGCCCAGACCUACAGCUAAGGUCCCGAAUAGAUGCUAAGUGGAAAACGAUGUGGAGUUGCGAAAACAACCAGGAUGUUGGCUUAGAAGCAGCCACUCAUUAAAAGAGUGCGUAAUAGCUCACUGGUCGAGUGACUCUGCGCGGAAAAUAUAACGGGGCUAAGCGUAACACCGAAGCUUGGGCUGCACAGCAAUGUGCGGGGUAGGGGAGCGUCGAAUAUGGGGUGAAGUCGCAGCGGAAGCAGCGGUGGACUGUAUUCGAGUGAGAAUGCCGGAAUGAGUAGCGAGAAUUAUGUGGGAAUCAUAAUGGCCGAAAAUCUAAGGUUUCUUGGGGAAGGUUCGUCCGCCCAAGGUAAGCCGGGAGCUAAGGCGAGGCCGAAAGGCGUAGUCGAUGCACAUACGGUAGAAAUUCCGUAGCCACCGAACUUUAAGUCAGAGGGACACUUUUGGAUAGCGGAACCCGGGCGUUGGUUGACCCGGGCGAAAGGGAGCGAAAAUAUAGUAGCGAAGUCCGCGAUGCUGAGAGGCGAGAAAAGCUCUGAUGGAUACUAAGGUGCCCGUACCGCAAACCGACACAGGUAGAUGAGGAGAGAAUCCUAAGGCCAACGGGAGAAGGGUUGUUAAGGAACUCGGCAAAAUGACCCCGUAACUUCGGGAUAAGGGGAGCCUCCUACGGGAGGCCGCAGCGAAUAGGCCCAAGCGACUGUUUACCAAAAACACAGGUCUAUGCUAAAUCGAAAGAUGACGUAUAUGGGCUGACGCCUGCCCGGUGCCGGAAGGUUAAGAGGAGAUGUCAGCGCAAGCGAAGCAUUGAAUUGAAGCCCCGGUAAACGGCGGCCGUAACUAUAACGGUCCUAAGGUAGCGAAAUUCCUUGUCAGGU
This 1891-nucleotide ribosomal RNA is filed under the name metagenome. Its description in RNAcentral is "bacterial LSU rRNA". It matches the Rfam family "Bacterial large subunit ribosomal RNA", at positions 3 to 1977 of the family's 2925-position model. The record is from RNAcentral.